AUUUGCUUAAUGCUCUAACCGUGGCAAGCUUGGCUGGAAGGCAGGCUACACAUAGCAGGGAAGAGGGUAGACUCCAUGAGGAGAUGGGGCAGGAUCCAGGGUGUGGUAGCCGACUUAGAGCACACUUCCCUUGAAAAUAUGGGACAAAUAUUUAAUAACGAACAUUGGUCGGAGCCACAAGUGAGUAAAGAGCUAGAUGUUUCCAGGCGGUCGCGGGUCUCAGCGUUUGGGUAAUGGCAGCCCUCUGCUUCCAGAGCGUCUGUCCAAUUCGCAGCACAACUUCACAGGGCAGAGGGAUCAAAGUCCGAGAGUUGACAAGCCAGUAAAACUUAAGAAAGGCACCCGCGUCUCAGCCAACUGGGCUGGGAUCCACCACUAGGAUUUAGUUCUUGCAAGAGAGUCAGACUCCAACUCCGGGACAGAAGCAGAGAUGCUCUCUAUAAAGCCGUGGAGGGGAAAAACAGGCUCAGCCCUUGGAAACAUGAGCCUGGCUUCAACUCGACUCUUGGUCGCCGCCGUAUACCUGACUUGGUGAAGAAGAAAGGAAAGCAAACAUCUCCCAGCAGAAUGAUCGAGCGCAAAGCGUUCAAAACUUGCAAUUCUGACAGACAGUCCUCGAGGGAAGGUGGGGUUCAUGGUUUUUGAGGGGUUUUUGCCCAUCGUGAUAUGGGAAGGACAGAAGAGAAGUUCAGGUCAGGGUGGUCAAAGCUGCUGAUACUGCCACAGACCAGUGUGCAGAGUGGUCAGGACCCUGAGCUGGGGGAAUGGUCAAAGGCACACUCCUAGAGACCAACUUGUGCUCGCUGAUCCCUGCCUCUUGAAAGUUCCACAGCCUCUCAGAAUAGUGCCCCCUGCUGGGAAGGAAGAAUUCAAGACGUGAACCUGGCGGGUGGGGCUUGGGGGGUGGAUUUCAGAUUGAAACUAGAACAGAAGGCCCAGAAAAGGGAGGUCGGUGAGAGUCUGUAUUCUUAAUUCAGGACGGCUUACAAAUAUGACUAGUUAAUUUAUAAGAUGUAAACUAAUACUUAAAAAAAAAAGAAUUUAGCAAACCAGACAGGGAAUUUCAGGACGGCAGUGACCUUUGUGCUUGCUGAGGCAUCGUAGGCGACAGUCUGCUGGAGUCCGGGAAGCCAUCUGCAGCUAGAGGGACCCUGCAGCUAGGGGGACAAUGAGCUGUCUGUCUCCUCCUCUACCUCCAGCUCUCCCUUGAGGGUUUGCGUUGGCAGAAUCUAAGCAGGAAUUUCUGGGAAAUUUAGUUUCCAGAUGUUACAGCCCCUGUGAGUCAGGACACAGAAGGGGAAAGAGCUACCAUGGCCACGGGGCCCAAGUGAAAGACAUCAAUUAUUUUAGGGUGAUGUCAGAGAAAGUGGGUCGCAGUGGAAAUGGAGCUCGGCGAGGCCGAGUCUGGGUGGAAGGACUGUGGGGAAGCAACACCCCUGCAGACAGGAACUGUGAGACACGCUAGGCAGAGUGACAAGGAGGUUGAAAUGCCACAACCUUCGAGAGUGACAGAUGCUCUUUGUUUUAAAGAGCUCAGUAGCGUGUAUAUAGAAAAUAAAGGCACCGUGGAUGGGACAAGGGGACUGUAAGAACCUGUCCCCCACUCUUGCUGAUAGUUUGAAAGCAUUCUGUGAAAUAAAUAUUCUUCUUCCAGACUAGGCAAAAAUGAAAACGGUUAGCAUUUGGACCUCGGUGUUGGAACUGGAGGUUAGAAGGUAGAAAUGUGGGAGGGAGUUAGACCAGAAGUUGACGGAACUUGGCAAGGUGAGUAGCAGGAGGAAGGCAGGAGCAACCAGGACUCCACAGUCUGUGGGGUGCGUAGCAUUGUGAACGGGCACCAUGAAUUGAGACAUGGCCAUAAAAAAAGUCGGAGCAGUUCCCUUUGGGAUGUGUUCUGUGUUAGGAUGUGAAACUACAGACAUCAAUAAUCAAGACAGAGGUGGUGGUGUGUCGUGUCCCCCCCACCCGCUUCCUGCUGAACAUACAUGACACCUUUGCAUACAAAGGGAAGUAUAACUCUCUACGUGUGAGUUUGGCCACAGUCACAGAAAAGAACUGAUUGAUAUCUAUCAAAGAUAUUUCCCCAUCUUAUUCCCCGAUGGAGCUUGAUGCUUGAAAUCCAACACGUGGUACUUCAAACUCCUGGCUUUAAGUUAAGGCACCUUAAAGGUUUGUGCUGCCCAUCUACCUGUGGUGUGGCGUGCUGAGACUUGCUUUGUCACACGUACCCUGAAAACAAUCAGUGCAUAUACACACACUAGUGCUGCUAUAUGGCCAGAGCUCGCAGCAUGGCCUAUUACAUGAUUUUUCCAGAAAGAUGAUAACAGGCAUCACACCAGACAGGGCAUCAGUGUCAGGUCACAGAAAUUACUCUACUAAAUUCCAGCUUGAGGAACCAAGGAAUCUUUUGGGGUUAUAUACAGCAACGUAGCAAGGGGCUCCUUGAAAGAACCUGAGUGGCUUAAAAGCAGCUGUACCCCCCAAAAUGACCCACCAGAGCUUCGUCCCCGGGACUCCCCACCUAUCUCAAAGGUAACCCCUUAGAGAGUCUCGUCUUGAGCAACAAUUAAUUAUUGCUUAUAUAACCCAGAGUGGGGCCUGUCCUGUUAACUUCUGCUGUCAACCUGACAGCCCAGAGUCAUCUCAGAGAGGCUCCAUUGGGGAAUCAGAUCGAUCAAAUUGUCCUGUGGCCAUGUCUAUGAGGAAGUCUUUUAGUUGUGGAUUAUUGUCAGAGGGCACAGUCCCCUGUGGGUGGUGCCAUUCCUUAGCAGAUGGUUCUGGGCUAUCUAACAAAGCUGGCUGAGCAUGAGGGAGAGAGAGAGAGUAAACCAGCAUGCAGUGUUCCUCCAUGCAACUCUGCUCCAGAUUCCUGCCUCUCGAGAGGUCCUGCACCGGCUUCCCUCCGAGAUGAACUUCUACCUGGGAGUGUCUAUUGGAACAAACACUUCCCUCCCCAAGUUGUUUUUGGUCAUGGUGUUUAACAGAAUGACAUAAAGGAAGCUAGAGGAAGGCAUAUUCCUACUAAGUCUUGUAAGCUUCCUGGGCCUGCUAAAUUUUAUGGGUUUGUGAGUUUUGCUAGCUCCUUGUGUCUUAUGAGCUCCUGUCCUCUCUUAACUCUCCAGGAGGACAUGUUUCAGUUCGGGGGCAAUAGCUACACAGUAGUGCCCAUGAUGAGCCAGAGCUAGAAGAAUCACUGGCCCCUACAUAAAGCCCUGAUUGUCAGAGAGACAGGAGGUCUUCAUGAGUCUGGGGAAACUUGCUGUGACUUACUUUGUCCUCUGUCUUCAUAGGCUCCCUGCCUGCUCUAUCUAUUUUUUCUUCUAUUUCUUUAACAACUUGAUUGUUGAAACCCCAGGAAAUUCUAAGCCCAUUUCUCCCAUCAAAAUGAAAGGAACUUAUUGAUGAAAUCAUGAGUCCAUUAAGAUUGAGUGGUACAUCUCCAUUAGGGCCACGAUUUGCAUCAUAAAACAGAUUAACAUGAAAGGUGGAAGCACUCUUCUUGGAGAGGAAAUGCACAAAAGAAUCUUUUAGGGCCUUCCGAAUUAAAGCAGAAUAAACACUCCACCAGGCACAGAGAGAAGGCAAGGGACAGGGGGGAAGGUUUCGACAGAGCCAAGCAAGACUGAAGACCUGCAGCCACAUAAGUGGUGUGACUCAUAGCUUAGUUGUGGGUAGACAGCAGAAGCCAGGGAACAUUCGGAGCUGAAAGAAACACUCGUAUUAAACAUUCUGCUGGAGCAAGGGUUCCCACUGCAGUGUGCUUACAGAGCCCUGCUCUGAAGUAUGCCUGGGCCGGCCGUUCUCGCUACUUUAAUGGAGUUGCUGAGAACCACCCUCUUGCCCGGCUAAGAGCCUGUGGUUCUGAGUGGAUGAGAGUGCUGUUCUCCUCAACCUUCCUCAGAAUGUUGAGAGGACAGUUCUGUGACAAGAGCUUUGCCAUGUGGCCUCCCCAGGAAUCUAGAUUGUUCCGGAUGAUCAAAGGAUAAUGAAAUAAACCCUACAUUAAUAGAGCACAGGGUUCUGGGAGUGUGUUGGGGGGCGGGGAUGACGUCUUCUCUUGCCUAUCAAGCUGGUGCUGUUUGUGUGUGUAUCACUUGCUUAGCAGCAUCAAGACCUUUAGCUAAAAGGAGAGGCUGGCUUAAAGGAUUGGAGCACCCGGGGGAUUCGCUGUUUGAUGGAAACAGGUCAGAGAAAGGAGCAAGAGAAUGAUCGGCCGUCUUACUCUUCUGGUGGGGUCUCUUUGCUCAUGUGUGAGAGGCAGUUCAUGCCAGCUCACAGACAUCAAGCAGAAUUUCUUCCUAAUUCCCCCACUCAGUGACUUCAUAGGAGGUUGGCACUGGCUAGGAUAGGAAUGUUUACAUUGCCAGAAUUGGCAGAUGUCACAAACCAGGGUGUUUUUUUCUCCCCUACUGUGGUUGCCUUGUUUUCUCCCCUAGAAAAUUUAUCGUUAAAUAUUUAUCAGCAUUCUCCUGGAAUUUGAUUGAAAGAUAAUUUGGCCAUCAAAGCAGCCACACGGCCUUCUGAAACUCUGGCUGAAAGCUUUCUGAGCACAGCAAGGGUCAAACAAGUGACCGGGCGGAGCUCGGCGGAAUUUGGAAAAAGGGAAAGGAUUCUUGGAAUACACGCCUGUGUGACAUACUCACCCAUGAACACUCACCUGAGGGUCAGUGCUCACAGGGUGACAUGGUAGGCACCUCUCGAAAGUUGUAAAGGGACCUUUAGGAAUGUGGCCACGAGAUGGACACUACUUAGACAUGAUGUGGGCCUCUUUCUCAUUGGACCAGGGACUUCAGAUAAAGGAUAAGACCCAGGAGGCUGGGCCUCAGAAGGACCAAUUUACAGGGCAUUUUGAUAGUGAACCAAUUAACCUCUUCUACCUAUAGGGCUCAGACAAAAGAUAGUUGGGCUCAGGAUGCAUUCUGGGAGCACUGCCGCGUGUGGGUGGUAAUGAUGUGUCAGAAGUUCUUUUUCAGAUGGGCUAAGUAGACUCCAGUCCUAUAUGGAAUGUCCGAGGCUGUGUCAGAGAAACACAAAGGUCUCUUCUGCCUCCCUUCCUGGGUUCUAGGAUUCUUCUGAAAAGAACCCUAAUGCUAACUAGAAGGUAGAAGAGUGGAAGCCCAGACACAGAUUAAGGAGUACACAUAGGUUCGGCCACAAUGGAGAUCAGGGAGGGAGGAUCUUCAACAAACUAAGAAAGAACCAGUGUAUGGCCCACUACAGCGUGUCCAGGUUAUUUACCUGAGGGACCGUAAGCCAACCUAUCACCCUGUGAACACUGCUGUGAGUUCACAAUUAUGGCUGAGUUAUGUACGGAAGCAAGAGAAGCGUCCGUCAACAAAUGACAGGGUUAAAUGGAGUGUGUGUGUAUAACGAAACUUUAGUCAGCUCUAAGGAAGAGCAGAAUCAUGCUGUUUGUUGAAGAACGGGUGUGACAGAAACUAACUAUAUGAAAUAAGUCAGCAAGAUAAGUGUCACACAUUUUUAGUCCUUUUGCACAUCCUUGGGUACACACACACACACAACACACCCUCACACACACUAAGGAAAAAAAAACUGGCUUCGAAGGACAAAAGGAGGCUACGAAAGGAAACAUAUUUGUUCGACUUUGAGGAAGAAGCCGAUUUGUCUGAAGGAGUCUGGGGACAGCCCUGCCUUUGUCUGAUAAGCCCUCUCUGCAAGUCCCUGUAAGCCAUAUGUGUUUAAGAUGUAGAGGAUCAGCUCAGGGGAUCAGCGCACAGCCCUGGAAGCGUUAGCAUGCGCUUCCUACUUUAAGCAGCUGUCUGGCAAAAUGGUCUGUCACUGUCAUAGGGCAGCCGAGCAUGAGAGUGCUUUGACAGUGCGAGUCUGUCUCAAUCCUUCCACCCAAACUCAAAGGAACGUCUUCCCAAAGGCCGAGGGCAGCCAUUCUUUGCAGCGGGAGUAAGCUCGGCUGAUGGCUUAAUCUGGAAGCCAAUUGGCUUUCAAGGAGACAUAACUCACUCCAUAUUUAGAGAAACGUUUGGAGUCUAUUGGGACUGCUUCGGGAGGGGAUUUGAAAACUUUGAAAAGGAACCUGAUAUGAACACUGACCGACUGGAAGACCUUCUGUCUUUCACAAGUGGGCACGUACCUGGCAGCCCUUGCUGGCUUGGCUUCAACUCCUAGAUCCCGGAUCAUGGAAGCCCUGGAGGGUCUGGCAGUUGGUUCCGGAGUCAACAAGAAGCAGGCAGCCACCACCAACCUAGAAGUAUUAUCAUGGUUUAACAGCAAUCCAAGCAAUGUCUCUGCUCCUGAAAUGGAACCUGGGCCUUGUUGGACGACGUGGGACAAAGGAGAGAGGCAGGUCCACUGUGGGGUCUGUCUGUGUUUAUAUGGUUGGCAGAGCGCGCUUUGAUGUCACCCUGAUGACGUCUGUCAUCUUCCCCACACCUGCUAUGGCAUGGCUGCCUUCAGUCACAAGCCUGAUUCACAGCACACUCUAUGUUUAGCAGCGCUCUGAGAAGGAUUCCAGUCUGCCUUCAGCCCUAAAUAGCUACAAAUAUCAGAGUAGCAGCGGCAGCCCUUCAAAGGCCUUUUUGGGAAGUGUCAUGCCAGAGAUGGGGUGACACAGAGGAGCCCCAGAAAGAAGCAAGAUGUCACCUGGAAACUGGAGGGAAAAAGAAGAAAUGAACCAGCGUCGACUGCUAAGAAGGUGAAGAAAUGAACCAGCGUCGACUGCUAAGAAGGUGAAGAAAUGAACCAGCGUCGACUGCUAAGAAGGUGAUAAAGUUGACCAUCUGUUCCUCAGUUACUUAUAGCACGGUCAUCGUCUGGAAAGUUGGAGACAAUGACUAGAAGACAAUGAAGGGACGAAAUACAAGGUGUCUGGUGCAGACUGAUAUGGCCAGGCACGUAAUUAAUGCCUCUUUAAAAGUGAACAAAAGCAGAGCAAGAAGUAAAAAACAAAGCGAUUACGCAUCAGCUGCUGAAACACUGUGUCCUAGCUUAAACGAGGCUGGAAAAAUGCUUCCACAGAGAACAGGAUGCUUGAGGACUCUAGCCUUUUCCCGGAGGGGCUGUAAUGGCUCCAGCCUCGCAGACGGGCUGCGCAGCGGCGCCAGCGAGCUCUGCUGCCCCCUGCUGGACGGAACGCGGGACUCGCGCCAGCCAGUCUGCGAGGCUCCCGCUGGCUCCCUGGGGACCCAGCACUCCUCCAGCAGGUUAUGCAACACCAGCUCACUUCAGGAAAGGAAACCAUCGACUUCAUGGAGCUUCCAAUGAGCCAGUGUUAAGAGUAAGGCGGAGACUAGAAAAUAGCACGCAUGUGUCCAGCCUUGGAGGCGCGUGUGUAAGGGGAGUGGACUAACUGAAAGGAAGCAGUGUAAAGAUUAGCCGCAGGGUAUGGUCUUCUAGUGACGCCGCACCUCAUGACCAGCUACUGACAUGGUGGGCGGCAGUGCUUCAUUUCCGGAGUGCAGCCCCAUCUUCUAGCUCCUUCAAGGUUAUAGAUCUUCUAGCUGUGUGACCUUCAAGGUUUUAAACUCUGACUGUUGGUGAACCAUAUCCAGUGGGUUGGUCUUUCCUAACAAGACACACAGUGAAGGCUUUAUAGAGAGGCAUAUUAAGGUGGAGCAGGGCUAUUCCCUCCUUUUACUGUUCAGAAAUAAUAAACAUUUUGAUAUUUCCAGUAUUCGUCCGGAUCACCAUAUCUUUAGAGGAAUUUUUCUUCUAUUUGGACCGACCCUUUGGAGUUUUACCUUUUGGGGUUUUACUGAUGUGAAGGAGGGGUCGUGGUGGUGGUGGCCGUUCACUCUUGUCCAAUCUGGAUGUGGAUUAAUGGUGUUUUCCAGCCCAUAAAAUAUUUUAAAAUUUUUAUUUCACACGGGGUUAUGAAGCAUCGCUGCCUUUACGACAGCUCGACUGGAACUUUCAAAAUUAAAAAUGACAGGAACUGAAAGUUGUCAUAGAGAUUCCAAGGCACUACCAUUCUCUUAUUCUGUAGACGAUGUUCUGCGCUUUUCAACCAAGUAAGAAUAGAUCUCUGGAGAUGAGAAGAUGACCACCACGUGUCUUUUCCCAGUCUUUGGAUGGUACCUUUCACAUCCUGGAAGGGAGAAAGCUGAGUCACCACCACAGAGUCUGAACCUGAUUAUCAUAUUCAGUAGCCACUGCCAAGCAUACAUUAGCACCUCUCCCAGAACUACUCUCUGUCUGCACAGGGCACCUGGACACUCUGCUCAUGAGAAUGCAAUACCCAACAUGAGUCAAGAAAGCCCAAAGACGUCCACCCUGAUCUGGUGAUAGAUGACACCUGACCUCCUUAGCCAAUAUGCAGACUGAGACUGUAUCUGGCAGAGUUUCUGGCUGCAGAACCCUUGACCGUCAGAAGUGAAUGAAAGUUUGGUAAGCUGUGCUGGAGCACUGCCAGUGUGCGGUGCUGUGAGCCGCCCUCACAGGAUUUCAGGGAAGAACUGUGGGGAGGAGGCACUGAAUGCCUUAGAUGCAGCGGGGAGAAAACCCUUCCUCCUACACCCUUAAAACAGAGCGAAAGGAAACAAAAUAAUAAAACUAAUAACAAAAUAACAAAAUAAUACCCCCCCACAAGCUACACCCUUACUUUUCUGGUCUCACCUGCUGCUUUCCUUAGGAGAUAGUUUCAAUGGAAAAGAUUCUAAAGUUCAUGUGUUCGAAAGCUUCUUGACCUUGCAGUUGGCGAUGAUCUUUGGGGGGUUAUGGAACUGUGGCUGGGGUCACUGGGAGCCAGGUCUUUGGGGUCACAGCUCUGCCCUAUUUUUGGACCCAGUCUCUCUGUGUGUCAUCUGUCAAGAAGUGAGCAAGCUCUCCUACACUCCUUCUGCUCUGGUUCACCUCCACCAAUACCCGUACUCUCAACCCAGGGGUGAAAAUUCCUUUCUCCUUCAGUGUGCUUCUUCCUGGGCAUUUGGUAGCAGCAAUUUCAAAAGCUAAGCUACCUUACUAGUAUGAGCUUCAGUGGUUUACACCAGGUAGGUCGAGGGAAAGGUAAAACUUGGGAUUUGCUCAAAACAUGGCCACACACACACACACACCUGAUGCUCGACACACACAGCCAGGCACACCUGAUGCCAGAAAGGGUGAGGUGGGGAUGUCAGAAAGUCCUGGGAGGAACCCAGGCUGUGUUCUAGGCACAUAUCUAUAGCUCAUAGUUUGUGUGUUCUUGGAAGACACAGAAGUAUUAUAAACUCGUAAAUAGAAUUGCAUAAGACUGUACUCAUGACAUAAAUGAUUCCUCACACGAGCGAACCAAGAAAGCCCAAAGAUGUCUACCCUGAACUGCAGAUAAAACAUCAUCAGACCUCCUUAGUUAGACGCCGCUGACACACAUUCGGAGAUCUUAUCCGGCAGAGUUUCCAGGCGUACGGAAGGUGGAUUGAGUUCAGGAUGAAUGAACUAUUGAACAGUGGAGCUCAGGGAGUGGGCGAUGGAUUAGUGGACAAAAAUAGCCCUGGACACCUGUGUAAAUCCUUGGUGAUCUGAUCUACGCCAUAAAAACCAGACAGUGGGCAUCUGUAACUCAUAAUAAGUCCUUUCUAACAUCACUGAGGUUAUCUUAAAGAGCCUCUUGGUGCUCCCCUCCCCCAUAGCUUUAGAGUGGGGCCAGGCUGCUAACUGCGCCAACGCUGCAUUUGGAGGGCUGUGACUUGCAGCCUGACCUCCUGGAACUGAGUGGAGCAGCAAUCAACAAUGACUUUGUAAGCUGAUCCCUGCUACAGACCGUACAAAAUCCUCAACGGGGAGAGCUGCUUACCUACAGAGGUCACAGGAGCUCUGUGCUCACCACCCCUAAUGCCCGUGUUCCUUGAAGUUGGCUGUUCCUGAGUUGUAUCUUUUGAAGUGAACUGACAUUGAUUCCUUUGGAAACUUGGAUGGCAUCGUUUAAUCUGUGGAGUGGGAAAAAGGAGACGAAGGAAGGAAGAGGAGAGGAGACCAUAAACCUCGCUGAGAGCUCACUGGAUCCGGGAAGUUGCUAAUAAAAACCCAGGCGGGGAUGGCACCUGCAGACAACUCACUCUACCUAGCCGUCAGAGCUGGCCUGGAAGAACAAAGGCUUUCUGGGGAGCUGCAAAUCACACAUUGAUCUUGCCCGAGAGUAUCUUUCCUUAGCGAUGAGAAGCUGGAAUAAAACGAAGUGGAAUGAAAAGCGGCAAGCAGAGGCCCUGAAGACUCCCACAGAAAUCCUGGUUCUGCAGAUUUACCUGUGCCGUGGGACCCACCUGUGUGGGACGAGGCACUUCUUGUUGAGCGUUCUGCUGCUCCAGAGUGCUUCAGCAUUACGUGUGGAAAGCAGAGACUUGAGGAAAAAUCAGUCAAACGAGAGCAUUGCAUAACUCGGACCACUGGAAAAUCCAUUCCCCCUUUAGGCAUCCCAAUGAGGGCAGUAACAACUAAGCAUGUUCCGGCUGUCGUGCUUACUCUAAUGCUGGCACUGGGGAGGAGAGGAGGCAAGUGCAUCCUAGGAGUUUGCUAGCAAGUGAGCCAGCUUCACCCCCUCACGCCACUCCCGGUUGCUAGAAUAGGAGGGCCUCUCCCAGAAUACUCCACACAACAGAUGGUUGAUCUACACCAGGAAACACCCAAAGAAGAAGACCAAGGCCACCACAGGCGGCAACUUGCCUACUCACCAGGGUCCAAGGAAGACCUCCAUCCCAUGAGAAUAAGCAAUGCAGUGGGAUGUCUACAUCUUGGCAGUCAGUUCACGGCGAGCUAUGUUUCUCAAGCUAUUAAGAUACAUGAUGCUACCUGUACAUUUAAUCUCUAAUCAAGUAUGUAAUUUUUUUAUUGCCUAGGGUAUGUCUAUGCAGUUGAAAGCAAAAACCUGUGUUCUAUCUUUAAAGAAAAAAUAAAACAACAACAAUAACAACCACAACACCCCUGUAAAAUCAAGAGAGAGGGAGCAAGAAGUUGGGUGGGUGGUGAGGUGGGGGAGAAUCGGGGAACAAUGGAGGAGGAAAACAAUAUAAUCAAAACAUACUGUAUGGAAAUUAAAUGUCCACCCUGCUCCUUGUGAAGUUUGCUUCCUUCACAGUGAUGUGAAGGGAACAGUGAUAUGCUUCCCCAAGGGGCACGAAGGAGAGGUGCUCUGAGAAAGUGACAUAAACAGGGAAGAUUUUUCUUCUUUGUAGAGAAGGGCGUUAGAGUACAGCAUUGUGAGAUUGCUCAGUGUGUGCACAGAGUACAGCAUUGUGAGGUUACUCAGUGUGUGCACAGAGUACUGCAUCAUCAGAUUACUCAGUGUGUGCACAGAGUACUGCAUUGUGAGAUUACUCAGUGUGUGCACAGAGUACUGCAUUGUGAGAUUACUCAGUGUGUGCACAGAGUACAGCAUUGUGAGAUUACUCAGUGUGUGCACAGAGUACAGCAUUGUGAGAUUACUCAGUGUGAGCACAGAGUACUGCAUUGUGAGAUUACUCAGUGUGAGCACAGAGUACUGCAUCAUCAGAUUACUCAGUGUGAGCACAGAGUACUGCAUCAUCAGAUUACUCAGUGUGUGCACAGAGUACUGCAUUGUGAGAUUACUCAGUGUGUGCACAGAGUACUGCAUUGUGAGAUUACUCAGUGUGUGCACAGAGUACUGCAUCAUCAGAUUACUCAGUGUGUGCACAGAGUACUGCAUCAUCAGAUUACUCAGUGUGAGCACAGAGUACUGCACUGUGAGAUUACUCAGUGUGUGCACAGAGUACUGCAUUGUGAGAUUACUCAGUGUGAGCACAGAGUACUGCAUUGUGAGAUUACUCAGUGUGUGCACAGAGUACAGCAUUGUGAGAUUGCUCAGUGUGUGCACAGAGUACUGCACUGUCAGAUUGUUCAGUGUGUGUCAAACCAGCUUUAGCAGCACUGAGAGAGAACUGACUUCAUUAACACUGGAGAUCUUGGAGACAGAUCAAGUACUCCUAUGCAGGGCAACACAAGGCACUGCAUUGAAGGAAGUCUUCCAAGAGCAGAGAAAUUCUCUCCUGGACACUACUUCCACAGAAUUUUCAGAUAGUUCCAUUUAACUUCCAAGUUCGUUGAUCAACUGUCAUGGGGAGAAGGGAUAGACGUCACGGAGCAUUGUGUCAUUAACAUUCGUUGCUGAAGAAGACUGGGAAGCAAUUCUAAAUUUGCAGCAGCCACGAGGUCCAUGGGCAGAGGUGGACAGAAGUGAGGACUGUCCAAAUGGUGGACUGCUUUGAGCAAGUGAAUGAGUCGUUGCAACUCCACAACUGGGUACGAUAAAAACGCUUCCAUAAACAAUGUAAAAUCAACUGGGUAAGGCGUAAUCCCAUUUAUUUACAGUUCAAAAAUAAACAAAGCGAGUCGCUGACAUCUGAAGUGAGAAGAGAUACCCGCCAUGGGCGAGCUUAGUGAAGAUUCAGCUUCAGGCGUUAGGGAUGGUUUCGUCCCUGAUGGGUUGUUGGUUACGAGCACAUGUUUGUUCUCCACGAGCAUACAUUUUAUUUCUGAGUCGUGUAUAUUUUUUUCUUCAUCCUGAAUCAGCAAAACAGUUACAAGCAAGCAAUGUCAACAUAGUUUCUUUUGCAUGUAUUAAAGUUUGGACCGUUCAGUCAAUCGUUUAAAGGACUAGGUAUGUGGGAGGAAGUGGCCCACAAAGGCUGAAGAGUUAAGUAUUUAAAGACUCAGAAUUACUUGAGAUAGUGAAAAAACGUUAGAGAGAAAAAUUUGAGCUUGGCUUCGUAGUCUAAAUUUCUUUGUCAGUAAAAACCUUCAUUUGUGGUAAAAUUUGGGCAGGGGAGUAAUGGUAUUUGAUAAGGGGUGGGGAAGAAUGUGAACUCAAAAUUAUAACCCAUUUUCUUUCUUUUUAACAUUUUCAGGUCAACACCAAACGUUUAGGUUCUGUGUGAUCAAAAUAGAAGGUCUUCACGUAUAUGGACCUGUCCUCCGCUAAGAUGUAAUUAUCAGUUGAUCAGGUUGAAAGACGGCUGAGUAGAUCCGGCACUAACAACAGAAUCAUCACACCAUGGAGAAACAAAUGUUCUAACAAUGUUCAUAACUCUACACGAUCCUUUCCUUUUUCACCACAAUCUAUGCUUCCCCAUCUGGCAGACAAGUAUGGAUCCCUUUCAACAUGGUAGGUAACAUUCCAGAUUGGAUAAUAAAAGUCUCUGUGGGAGAA
RNAcentral lists this small RNA (13111 nucleotides) under Rattus norvegicus (Norway rat). RNAcentral's name for it is "uncharacterized LOC102547244". Lineage: Eukaryota; Metazoa; Chordata; Mammalia; Rodentia; Muridae. The record is from RNAcentral.